GAUGAAGAACGUAGCAAAAUGCGAUAAGUAAUGUGAAUUGCAGAAUUCAGUGAAUCAUCGAAUCUUUGAACGCACAUUGCGCCCGCUGGUAUUCCGGCGGGCAUGCCUGUUCGAGCGUCAUUUCAACCCUCAAGCCCCCGGGUUUGGUGUUGGGGAUCGGCUCUGCCCUUCUGGGCGGUGCCGCCCCCGAAAUACAUUGGCGGUCUCGCUGCAGCCUCCAUUGCGUAGUAGCUAACACCUCGCAACUGGAACGCGGCGCGGCCAUGCCUAAAACCCCAACUUCUGAAUGUUGACCUCGGAUCAGGUAGGAAUACCCGCUGAACUUAAGCAUAUCAAUAAGCGGAGGA
This 347-nucleotide unclassified non-coding RNA is filed under the name soil metagenome. RNAcentral's name for it is "partial contains 5.8S ribosomal RNA, internal transcribed spacer 2, and large subunit ribosomal RNA". The stretch from base 1 to 120 matches the Rfam family "5.8S ribosomal RNA", at positions 35 to 154 of the family's 154-position model. The record is from RNAcentral.